AUUGAACGCUGGCGGCAUGCCUUACACAUGCAAGUCGAACGGCAGCAUGGAAGAGCUUGCUCUUCUGAUGGCGAGUGGCGAACGGGUGAGUAAAGCAUCGGAACGUACCGUGUAGUGGGGGAUAACGUAGCGAAAGUUACGCUAAUACCGCAUACGCACUGAGGUGGAAAGCAGGGGAUCGCAAGACCUUGCGCUAUACGAGCGGCCGAUGUCAGAUUAGCUAGUUGGUAGGGUAAAGGCCUACCAAGGCGACGAUCUGUAGCGGGUCUGAGAGGAGGAUCCGCCGCCAUGGGACUGAGACACGGCCCAGACUCCUACGGGAGGCAGCAGUGGGGAAUUUUGGACAAUGGGGGAAACCCUGAUCCAGCCAUGCCGCGUGAGUGAAGAAGGCCUUCGGGUUGUAAAGCUCUUUCGGCUGGGAAGAAAUCGCACAGGCUAAUACUCUGUGUGGAUGACGGUACCAGCAUAAGAAGCACCGGCUAACUACGUGCCAGCAGCCGCCGUAA
This 506-nucleotide ribosomal RNA is filed under the name uncultured bacterium. RNAcentral's name for it is "partial 16S ribosomal RNA". It matches the Rfam family "Bacterial small subunit ribosomal RNA", at positions 30 to 523 of the family's 1533-position model. The record is from RNAcentral.